RNA transcript from Rhododendron vialii, 1513 nucleotides. RefSeq lists it as uncharacterized. NCBI's taxonomy places the organism in Eukaryota, Viridiplantae, Streptophyta, Magnoliopsida, Ericales, Ericaceae. The transcript has 6 exons. The record is from RefSeq and is a predicted model, not a curated record.
CACAGACUGCGGAAAUUACAGGCAGCACGUUUGUUUGUAGAAUCUCUCACCCAAGUACCCAACAGCUGAGCUUUCAUACCCCUAUCGUCUUUGGACGUCUCGACCAUGGCGUCGAUUCCAACCUUACUCUGUCCUCCUUCGACAACAAUUUCUCCACGGAAACCCGCACAAAACCGACCACCCGUUGCUUCACCCCCCUCGUCCUCCUCCUCGGCGGUUCGAGCGGUAGCACCCCGGUCGCUGUUGAAACCCAUCAAUUUUUGCAGCAUAUUUCGGAGUAACAAGGGAAAAGCCACGAUGGCGGCUCUUUUGGGAGCCGGGUUUUUUGCCAUUGCCUUCGUGGGACCGGCAUCCGCCGCCGCCGCCGACCUUCCGUUGUUGUUGGGUUCUUCUUCUUUGCAACUGCUCAACGAACCAUCAAACGCCCUUUCGCUUCCCACCUGGGCCAUCCAUGUCUCCAGUGUCGUCGAAUGGAUUACGGCAAUGGCAUUGGUGUGGCAAUAUGGGGAGAAAUCUGGGAAUGAAUCGUGGAAGGGGCUAUCUUGGGGUAUGGUACCAUUGCUUGGCGGAGCAUUUUGUGCAUGCACAUGGCAUUUCUUUUAUAACUCCGAGGCUCUUCAGAUACUGGUGGCUCUCCAAGCAGCAUUGACAGUAAUAGGAAACGCCACCAUGUGCAUCGCCGCAUUCCGGAUAUACAAAUCAUCAGAGGGAAGCUCAAAGAAGUUGUAGGCCUUCCCUAGCUUUCAUAACCUUGUGGACUACAAUGCCCAUCCAACUUGUUUCUCAUUCUGUUAGAUUGGAGUGGAAAGCAGGUCUUUUAAGCUUGUAUUAAGAGGCAAGGAGUUCUCCUUCUCACUGCUGGCCCUUUUAUGCUUACUAUAAUUGCUCUUUCACUGCAAAACUAUAUUUGAUCUAUCUGAUCAUAGUUGAAUGUGAAAGAGAAGGUGGCGAAGGAUCCGGAUUCACUUGCUUGGUUGUUGAGAAAGGUUUGAAUUUGUUGUUUUGAUUCUUUCUGAAAUGUUAUAAUUGGUAUUUGAAUGCUGUUACAAAUUACAAUGAUGAUAAGUACAAAGGAAAAAAUUCGGAGGUUGUCCCAAAAACAAAAUCAUGAUAAACUAAUUAUCACCAAUGUAGCUCUUUAUAUAGACUAUGCCUGAGAAAAAAUGGCAGUGUACCCUCAAAUCAAGAAAAUGGGAGGCAUCUAAUGCCUAGUGGAGGGCAUGUUAGACUUUAUCCACAUUGCUAUCCCGUUGAGAGCUAGGUCUUGGGUGGCCUUAGCUCAAGUGGUUGAGUUUCCGCCUGAUUCAAUUCCUCACCUCGUCAAUACAUACCUCCACGUGCAAUCCGGCUGCACCCGAGGGGUAGUGUUAGACUUUAUUCCACAUCGCUUACCUAAGUCACCCAAUCUUGUUUAAUAUAAUCUUAAGGCUACUCCACUUAUUGCCAAUUGGUUUUAGGUUGAAACCCUCCAAGAAAUCUAACAGGUUUAUCUCUGAUGUGGUAAGCAGUUGAA